CUUCUUCUAGUUUAAAUAGAACCCUUGUUUUGCAUACAAUAAGUAGGAUCCUCCUGGAGAAGU
Molecule: transfer RNA, 63 nt
Filed under: Glycera americana (American bloodworm)
Lineage: Eukaryota; Metazoa; Annelida; Polychaeta; Phyllodocida; Glyceridae
Description: tRNA-Ala
Source: RNAcentral